RNAcentral lists this non-coding RNA (84 nucleotides) under Clostridium massiliodielmoense. The record is from RNAcentral. Lineage: Bacteria; Bacillati; Bacillota; Clostridia; Eubacteriales; Clostridiaceae.
ACUUACAUAGUGAUAUGUAACUGAACUAUCAGAAAUCAGCAGAGGUCAUAGUACCACACUAUGUGCACGUAGUGCGGGAAGGAC